Micropterus dolomieu (smallmouth bass) is the source of this 839-nucleotide long non-coding RNA. RefSeq lists it as uncharacterized. The transcript has 3 exons. The record is from RefSeq and is a predicted model, not a curated record. NCBI's taxonomy places the organism in Eukaryota, Metazoa, Chordata, Actinopteri, Centrarchiformes, Centrarchidae.
UGUCUGCAAUGGAAAACGGAGCAGGGCCGAGUAGAGUCGAGUCAAUCGAUUUGCGCUUUGGAAGCAUUUUUCGGCAAGGCAGCAUAGAUCGUCAGAACGCUGGCAACAGUUCAAUGUUUAGUCCUGAUGGAACACUUCAUGGAGAGAAUCCUGACACAAGGAGAGCAGUGAAGGUGCUGUGAUGGAAAGGGGGUCUUCAAAGGCUUAGCAGUCUGUAACCACAUGGCAAACCUGGACAUUCAGCAACCACAAAGCAGCUGUGGGCAUAGCAUGAUGGCCAGCAUUCCUCACAGGCAGGAAACUCCUCUCUUCCCAUGGGCACAUGGGAUGAUGUAUUUCCUGUUUAUUUCUUGGGCCACCCCUACAACUGUGAAUACGGCAAAGAACCUGGACUAAGUCCAAAGAGUCUUCACAAGAAUCAGAGAACUGCAAAGACUCUGUGACCCUUUCCUCCACAUUUGUGGUUUCAGGCCAUCCUUAUUUAUCUAUAGUAACAAAGGUUUCCAUAAAAAGUAGUGCCUGUUUCCUGUCUCCCAAGCAAAAGCAGAUAUGAAUCUGAUAAACCAAAUUCUGAUUCCCACAUAAGAUACAGUUGCAUAUGGCCACAGGGUCUCAGAACUCCUGACGUCAGGUCAUGAAUUUAACCUGAAAACUGAAGCUUAAAUUAUUUCAUGUCUGGGGAACACAAAACUUAUGGCAAAACAAUAUUAUUGUACAAAGGAAUACGCUGUGAGUUGUUUAAGCCAUAAUCCAUGCCCCUUCAACUAUGAUUAAUGUUCAAAAUGGUGUCUAUUAUUUAUGAUUCGGGUCUUCCUGCAGUUAAUACAAUAAUUGUUUUG